This 316-nucleotide ribosomal RNA is filed under the name uncultured bacterium. RNAcentral's name for it is "bacterial SSU rRNA". It matches the Rfam family "Bacterial small subunit ribosomal RNA", at positions 29 to 329 of the family's 1533-position model. The record is from RNAcentral.
AAUCAACGCUGGCGGCGUGCCUAACACAUGCAAGUCGAACGCGAAAGCCCCGCAAGGGGCAAGUAGAGUGGCAAACGGGUGAGUAACACGUGGGUGACCUGCCUUCGAGCGGGGGAUAACGUCCCGAAAGGGACGCUAAUACCGCAUAACAUCCUGCCUUUGAAGAGGUGGAGAUCAAAGCGUGGGGAUCGCAAGACCCGGCACUUGAAGGAGGGGCCCGCGCCUGAUUAGCAGGUUGGUGGGGUAAUGGCCUACCAAGGCAACGAUCAGUAUCCGGCCUGAGAGGGCGGACGGACACACUGGGACUGAGACACGG